UCCGGUUUGACAACGGCAGUCUCGCUAGAGUCCCCGGCAUGACCCGCUGGCAACUAGCGACAAGGGUUUCGCUCGUUCAGGGACUUAACCCGACAUCUCACGGCACGAGCUGACGACAGCCAUGCACCACCUGUGCAGGCUCCGAAGAGCGCCCGCUUUCACGGGUUUCACCCUGCAUGUCAAGCCCAGGUAAGGUUCUUCGCGUUGCAUCGAAUUAAGCCGCAUGCUCCGCUGCUUGUGCGAGCCCCCGUCAAUUCCUUUGAGUUUUAGCCUUGCGGCCAUACUCCCCAGGCGGGACACUUAAUGGGUUAGCUGCGGCACGGGAGGAGUCGACACCUCCCACACCUAGUGUCCAUCGUUUACGGCGUGGACUAC
RNAcentral lists this unclassified non-coding RNA (375 nucleotides) under uncultured bacterium. RNAcentral describes it as "contains 16S-23S intergenic spacer region". The record is from RNAcentral.